This 460-nucleotide ribosomal RNA is filed under the name uncultured bacterium. RNAcentral's name for it is "partial 16S ribosomal RNA". It matches the Rfam family "Bacterial small subunit ribosomal RNA", at positions 338 to 795 of the family's 1533-position model. The record is from RNAcentral.
CCUACGGGUGGCUGCAGUGAGGAAUAUUGGUCAAUGGUCGAGAGUCUGAACCAGCCAAGUAGCGUGAAGGAUGACUGCCCUAUGGGUUGUAAACUUCUUUUAUAUGGGAAUAAAAUGUUCCACGUGUGGGAUUUUGUAUGUACCAUAUGAAUAAGGAUCGGCUAACUCCGUGCCAGCAGCCGCGGUAAUACGGAGGAUCCGAGCGUUAUCCGGAUUUAUUGGGUUUAAAGGGAGCGUAGGUGGAUUGUUAGGUCAGUUGUGAAAGUUUGCGGCUCAACCGUAAAAUUGCAGUUGAAACUGGCAGUCUUGAGUACAGUAGAGGUGGGCGGAAUUCGUGGUGUAGCGGUGAAAUGCUUAGAUAUCACGAAGAACUCCGAUUGCGAAGGCAGUUCACUGGACUGCAACUGACACUGAGGCUCGAAAGUGUGGGUAUCAAACAGGAUUAGAUACCCUUGUAGUC